Molecule: ribosomal RNA, 273 nt
Filed under: uncultured bacterium
Lineage: Bacteria
Description: partial 16S ribosomal RNA
Rfam family: Bacterial small subunit ribosomal RNA
Source: RNAcentral
UACGAAGGGUGCAAGCGUUAAUCGGAAUUACUGGGCGUAAAGCGUGCGUAGGCGGUUGGCUAAGUCAGAUGUGAAAGCCCUGGGCUCAACCUGGGAAUGGCAUUUGAAACUGGCCGGCUAGAGUGCGGUAGAGGAUGGCGGAAUUCCCGGUGUAGCGGUGAAAUGCGUAGAGAUCGGGAGGAACAUCCGUGGCGAAGGCGGCCAUCUGGACCAGCACUGACGCUGAGGCACGAAAGCGUGGGGAGCAAACAGGAUUAGAAACCCCCGUAGUCC